This 253-nucleotide ribosomal RNA is filed under the name uncultured bacterium. RNAcentral's name for it is "partial 16S ribosomal RNA". It matches the Rfam family "Bacterial small subunit ribosomal RNA", at positions 524 to 776 of the family's 1533-position model. The record is from RNAcentral.
UACGUAGGUGGCAAGCGUUGUCCGGAUUUAUUGGGUUUAAAGGGUGCGUAGGCGGUCUAUUAAGUCAGUGCUGAAAUAUCCCGGCUUAACCGGGAGGGUGGCAUUGAUACUGAUGGACUUGAGUGCAGUCGGGGUAGGCGGAAUUGACGGUGUAGCGGUGAAAUGCUUAGAUAUCGUCAAGAACACCGAUAGUGAAGACAGCUUACUAGGCUGUAACUGACGCUGAGGCACGAAAGUGUGGGGAUCAAACAGG